AUGCCCCUGCAGCUUUGGUCCAUCAAGGGGGCGGAGAAGGUGCUCGGCAAGAAGUGCAUCGUAGACCGGCUCGACUCCAGGACGCUCGAACGCGGGCACACGAAGACAUUCGCAUGCUGGGUGUGGGUGUGGGAUGUGGCACUCAUCCCUACCACGCACACGCUCUGGAGGACGGCCCGGGGCACGGGGCACAUUGAGGCCAUGCAAGGCUUCUCACCGACGAGUAGGGAGGUCGCCUCUCCGCCGCGCGUCAAGCGCCAUGAUCUGCUCAUCCACAUUGACAUGGUGGAGGACUGGUCCCCGCUGUCGCCGCGCUCAUCACACUCGGCUCAGAGUGGCCUUCCAUCCUCGAGCUCUGAGGAGGGGCGCAAAGUGCCAGAGAUCUGGCCCGGUUCCUAG
Molecule: ribosomal RNA, 399 nt
Filed under: Triticum aestivum (bread wheat)
Lineage: Eukaryota; Viridiplantae; Streptophyta; Magnoliopsida; Poales; Poaceae
Description: partial small subunit ribosomal RNA
Source: RNAcentral